This is an RNA transcript of Tachysurus fulvidraco (yellow catfish), 3605 nucleotides long. RefSeq lists it as uncharacterized. NCBI's taxonomy places the organism in Eukaryota, Metazoa, Chordata, Actinopteri, Siluriformes, Bagridae. The record is from RefSeq and is a predicted model, not a curated record. The transcript has 16 exons.
GCGACCAAAAGGAAGUGCAGGCUCUCCAUAGAUAUCUAUCCACUAGGAAGAAUCCCAAACCGAUUCCUAAUUCAUUUUCAGGUAUAUAUUUUAUAGUGCACAAUAAUAUAUUCCCAAUAUCUUUAUGGCAUUUAGACAAACCCACGCGGAGGAAGUGACAUUUCGGGUAUUUCUUUCCACACCCUUUGUUUACGUGAGCUUGGUUAUAAACCUUGAGUAUAAAUGAUUUAUGAAGCAGCUGCACAGUCACUGACUUUAACUUCAAGCUCCACAGGAAGAAAAGCUGCUACCAAGACGGUUUGGGCAAAACCUGAUGAUCCAUUUGGACCAAAUACAUCAGAUGCUUCAAAAGAGAAGAUUAGGCAUGACUAAAAUCUGAUAUUGAUACAAAGCCAUAUACACGGUCAAUAUCACGAAUUCGCUUGCGUUGAAAUAGUAGGCUAAUGCUAACAUGUCACUACCCGUCAAAGUUAUCGUGGUUGGAGCAGGGAGCCGUGGUGAAACAUACUCCGACUUUGCCUCCAUCCAUCCUGAUCGGCUGAAAGUAGUUGGAAUUGCUGACCCAAGACUUUUUGCACGAAAGAAGCUCCAGGAGCGUCACAAAGUGCUUGAAGAAAAUGUAUUUGAUGAUUGGCACUGUGUAGCAGAAAGGGAGAAGUUUGCAGAUGCCGUAUUUAUCUGCACUCCUGAUCGCCUUCAUAAGGAACCUGCCGUUGUUUUGGCGAGGAAGGGUUAUCAUAUACUCUUGGAGAAACCAAUGGCAGUGACUCUAGAGGACUGCACAGAGAUCGCAGAGACUUGCAGUCAAAGUGGUGUAAUGCUAACAGUGUGCCAUGUUCUCCGAUACGACCCAUUCAUCAGAAAAAUCAAAAUGCUCAUUGACAGUGGAGCCAUUGGGGAUGUCAUUCAUAUUCAACACUUUGAACCAGUUGGCUUUUAUCACUUUGCUCACUCAUUUGUGAGAGGAAAUUGGAGAAAUGAGGCAGAAAGCUCUUUUGCUCUUUUAGCCAAAUCCUGCCAUGACCUGGACUUGAUUCAUCACUGGGCUGGAGGACGCAGGUGUAUAAAAGUUUCAUCAUUUGGAUCCCUCAGCCAUUUCCGAAAAGAAAACAAGCCAUCAGGAGCAGCGAGUCGGUGCUUAGAUUGUUCUGUAGAGACAGACUGUGCGUAUUCAGCGAAGAAAAUCUAUUUGGACCGAGUUAGAAAGGGAUGGGUGACAUGGCCAGUGUCAGUUGUAUGCGGCAGUUCAGUUCCUGAUAUUGAGUCAGUAACCGAGGCUUUGAAAUCAGGUCCAUACGGUCGCUGUGUUUAUGAGUGUGACAACGAUGUGUGCUCAAAUCAGGUUGUUAACAUGGAAUUUGAAGGAGGCCUCACUGCUACGUUUAGCAUGGUGGCAUUUACGGAAGAGGUGUGUCUGCGCAAAACAAGCAUCCAUGGCAGCAAGGGGGAGCUGACUUACAACGGCCACGAGGUCAAAGUAUUCGACUUUCUCACUCAGGUAUCCACAAAGCACACUGUGGACGUCAAUGUACCGGGGAACUUCAGCAAAGGUGGUCAUGGUGUUGCAGAUUAUCAUCUCGUUGACACCUUUAUUUCAGCCGUAGCGAAAUGAUAUCAUACUGGAUCAAGCACAUUAAUAUAAACCUGGGAUUGGCCAUGAGGCACGAUUUGCUUCAGAGAUCCUAGUUAAUCAGCAGCAAAAUGAACGGAGACCCAAUGCUGGUCCAGUCCGGUCCGAAGGAAACACUGGCGAGUCACAGGCUGGUUUUCGAGGCUGAGCGUUCUCGUCUAGAGAACAGAGUCGUGAUGUGUGUGACCGAUCAAGACUAGUUGAUGAAGGCUAAAACAUUUUAUGACUACAUAAAUGCUAGAAAACUAACAUUAAUUGUAAGAUGGUAUUUGUGACCAGUAGCCAAGGCAUGCAAAAUUGACCUUGCUGUUUAGGUGAAAACAAUGUCUCACACUUGUCAACCCCAGUAUAACUAUCUAAUCAUUAGUAUCUGUGAAUGUGUGCGUGCAGAUUUCCUUUGUCCUGUCACACGGCAUGAGCAGCAGUCCAAACUAAUUUUGUGGCUGUUUCAUGUGUCCUCGAGGAAGCACAUGAAGGUGUCUCACCCGGUUUGGUGUCUGUUGUACAGUAUGAUUGGUAAAAUCUAACAGGUCUGAGAAUUAGCAAAACCAAAAGGAUAAAACUGUCUGUUUUGGGUUGUGAGACAGCUACAACAGUUUAAAAGAUGAUUUUAAAACUGUAUGUAUUGCUUCAUUUAUUUUUAAUCAAGCUGUUUAAAAGGUAAGCACAGACUUUUAUUUUUUCUAUUAGUAGAACAAAUAUACGCUUAUAAAACAAUUCUGUACACAAGUACUGUAUGUUUAUUCAUGCUAUACAUGUUGCUAAAAAAUAAGUGUGCCAGUAAUGCUGUUUUGUCUUUACAUGAACAAAUACAUGAAAACAGUCUUGAAUGAUUACACUGUCUUGCUUGAUCUGUUUAUCUUGGACAAGCAUGGAUUGUUUCGGGUCAAACAUUAGACUUGUGAUUAAGGCAGGAUGAUCAUGCUGUGCUGAUAUGUACCAUGCUGGCUGUAGAGACUUUGACCUUGGACGAGAUGUCUUCUCCUGUUAGUGUGUCAAAGGUAAUAUUGAUUUGUUUAAGGUUUAUUUAAAUGCAUUAUUCUUGUGGGUAGUUCCUUGGUUACAUGUUGUGGAGGCAGGGCUGGACUUUGACCCAGUGGUUGGGGAGCCAUUUCUGUGAGAUUGUAGUCAUAAUCUAAAUCCUGUAGAUGGCAGAAUAAACACAACACUAGGGUAAACAGAGGUAUGUCCUCUAGUCUAGUACACCAAGUAAUUGUACAAAGGAUUAGUGACCUGAACAACAGCCAAUAAAUUCUGUGAUGUCAAUCAUAGUUUACCUCGGAAUGAACUCAUGUGUAGUGAGCAGUUCAUUUCGUUCACUGGUCCACCAGCUUCCUCGAUCGGGUUCUGGGAGUAUUACAAGUUAGAUACCUCACAGACCAAUUGUCUAUCUCUGUAAAAGCAGUCAUUAAUGUCCAUUCCAUAGACUUCAGGUGUGUCUCUAAAGGUUGGACAAUACUCGAGUAACUGUUUGAAUACUUACAGAUUAUUUUAGUGUAUUUACUUCAUUUGUUAAUUGAUUAUUAUUGAAAUAGAAAGCUAGUGUUCGUAUCUCAACAUUCAACACUUUCAUUUUUAUUUAGAAAAUAUUUAAAACAAAAUAUUUAAAACAAUACACUUCUUCUCACAUCCAGUAUGUUGUAUAUCAACUCAAUUUGCUCAGUUUAGCAUCCAAUCAGCUGCAGAAAUGUAGAAAAAACUAUCAUGAUUUAUGCCAAUUAGCCUUUGGCCGUAAUCUCAUGCUACGCAGUGUGGUUAGUGCCAUGGAUGUGUGUUUUUGAAUAUGUAAACACCAGUGGACUGCUUUGUGGAACUUUAGGUUGAACAUCCUUGACCCUACCUCGGUAUUUUACUAUGCUGGAUUAGGCAAAAACCUGUAUAAAAGGAGGCAUCUUCUUUUCAUCCCUGAUAGUCUAUACUAUGAUAUAUUGUUAAUAUUAACCGGCAAAUUUAAUAAAAUUGGUCUGUUGAUUGA